RNAcentral lists this ribosomal RNA (253 nucleotides) under uncultured bacterium. RNAcentral describes it as "partial 16S ribosomal RNA". It matches the Rfam family "Bacterial small subunit ribosomal RNA", at positions 524 to 776 of the family's 1533-position model. The record is from RNAcentral.
UACAGAGGUCUCAAGCGUUGUUCGGAUUCAUUGGGCGUAAAGGGUGCGUAGGCGGCGCGGUAAGUCGGGUGUGAAAUCUCGGAGCUUAACUCCGAAACUGCAUUCGAUACUGCCGUGCUUGAGGACUGGAGAGGAGACUGGAAUUUACGGUGUAGCGGUGAAAUGCGUAGAUAUCGUAAGGAAGACCAGUGGCGAAGGCGGCUCACUGGACCGGUACUGACGCUGAUGCGCGAAAGCGUGGGGAGCGAACAGG